Molecule: ribosomal RNA, 424 nt
Filed under: Verrucomicrobiota bacterium
Lineage: Bacteria; Pseudomonadati; Verrucomicrobiota
Description: Verrucomicrobia bacterium partial 16S ribosomal RNA
Rfam family: Bacterial small subunit ribosomal RNA
Source: RNAcentral
UGAGGAAUAUUGGUCAAUGGACGCAAGUCUGAACCAGCCAAGUAGCGUGCAGGAUGACGGCCCUAUGGGUUGUAAACUGCUUUUAUAUGGGGAUAAAGUGGGGAACGUGUUCCCUUUUGCAGGUACCAUAUGAAUAAGGACCGGCUAAUUCCGUGCCAGCAGCCGCGGUAAUACGGAAGGUUCGGGCGUUAUCCGGAUUUAUUGGGUUUAAAGGGAGCGUAGGCUGUCUAUUAAGCGUGUUGUGAAAUAUACCGGCUCAACCGGUGGCUUGCAGCGCGAACUGGUCGACUUGAGUAUGCAGGAAGUAGGCGGAAUUCAUGGUGUAGCGGUGAAAUGCUUAGAUAUCAUGACGAACUCCGAUUGCGCAGGCAGCUUACUGUAGCAUAACUGACGCUGAUGCUCGAAAGUGUGGGUAUCAAACAGG